This 2955-nucleotide long non-coding RNA is filed under the name Pan troglodytes (chimpanzee). Its description in RNAcentral is "lincRNA". The record is from RNAcentral. Lineage: Eukaryota; Metazoa; Chordata; Mammalia; Primates; Hominidae.
AGCCAAUUGGGAUCUUUGAGGCGAAUGCGAGGCUGAGGCCGGUUGCCUACCGGCCGCUUCUCGCCGAGGCAGUCCAGACUUUUCCCCCGGCGGUGCCCGCUCCAAGACAGCAUCUGUCAACGCUCCUCUUCUCCCCUCCUCCUCCUGCCGGGCCGGGCUCCGCCGGCUGCGGCCGAGAGGACGCGGGACCCGGCACGGUGAGCCCAUCAGCUGUCAGGCGAGCGGCGAAGCGGCUGGAGGGCGGCGAGAGACACACAAAGAACGCGGUGGGCGGCGGCGGCGAAAGGGGACGGCAACUCCUCCCCGCGCCCGCCGGUGCCACCGCCGGCCGUGCUUGUUCCGAGGCCGCGCAGACAAUGCGGCCGGGCUCGUCCCCGCGCGCCCCAGAGUGUGGAGCGCCCGCGCUCCCCCGACCCCAACUUGACCGUCUCCCGGCUCGCCCAGCCCCCUCCCGGGGUAGGGGCGCCCCCUCCCUCCGGUGGCCGGCGAAGGAAGUCGGUCCACGGCCGCAGAUCCCGGCAACUUGCGAGCCGGGAAAAGUUUGCGGCGCCUCCGCGGGGCGGCGCGACGCGGCCCGUACCUCGCGUCCGCGGUCAUCGCGGGUGACUUUCUCGACUCGUCGUCAGCCGGGGCCGCUGCGCGGCCGGCGGGGACUGCGGGGCGGGCCGGAGUCCGUCCGAGGGCUCCCGCACCUCGGGCUGCGGAUUUCAGGUACUCCACUGGGCAUUUUCUCUUCAUGGAGCUUAUAGCAACAAAAGUGUUUUACAAAACAUCAGACAUGUUGGCAUCAUCUCUUAGUUGGGCCCUGUGGCCAGGGAACCUUUCAUGAAACCACCUCUGCAGUCCUGGAGAGUUGCUGUAGAAGAAGGAAAAGAGAAGAAGACAACACAACACAGGAGGGGAUAAGUACCUCUGGACACAAUGGAAGUAGUAGUUGUUGAGCAGAGGGAAAGGGAUAGGAGAAGGAUGUGGACUGCAGUGCGGCAGUGCCAGGUAAUAACUUUGAUCAUGUACCUCCUUGGCUCAGGUGCUGUCUCUUCUACUCUCCUCCUUACUCGUACUACCUUAUUUAGCACUUAAUUAUAUACUUUCUUGACUCACUUUGAGACACACUGAUUAUGUGGUCUGCCUCAAAGACAGAAUCCUAGUUUUGGAUUUUAGCAUUACUGAUCUAUAGCCUUGCAGGGGCUUAAGGAUGGCAGCUGUCUCUCUCCCUUGGGAUCUAGCUUUUGCAAAUAUUGAAGGGAAGAGAUUUCUUUGAUCUUAUAGGAAUAGAUCCACAGUUCAUCUACAGAUUUGCUUUUAUAGAGAAGUGUGUGUCACCAAAACAAUGGAGAUACGGUCAGAGAGGCCCCUACCCCCAGAAUUUUAAUAUAAUUUUACUUUCUGGGGCAUUUAUUCUUGACAAAUACUUUCUCUCCUAUCAGCUCACUUGUUCGUCACAAAAACCCUAUAAGAUAUUAAUAUUAUUAAACAGACCCCUAUGAAGCACCUCAAGUCUUUCUCUCUUCCCACUUCCAUUCUUGCACACCUUUUGCUAGACUAGUCUCUGCGUUCAUCACAUCAGGUUUCUAAAAUAAAAGUCCCCUAAUAACUUUCUAUUUGUUCUCUCAUCAAAUUGAACCUUUUUUGCCUGGCUUAUAAGGUGGCCUUAAAACCCCAUUUUCCUCUAAACAUUGUCUCUGUAGUUCAGGAAUAUGGCAGGCUCAACACUAUGCUUGAGCCCAUAUUGCUUCCCUCAUUAGUGAUGCCUCCUCUCAAACCACCCAGAUUCUACUCAUUCUUCAAUUUCCAGCUUCUCCUUGGAGCCUUCCCAGAUCAUUAGCUUCUUAAAAAUCCCAGCUUUCUCUGAAUUCUGAUGGUAGCCCCCGUUAUUUGGACAAUUAUGUCCUGGUCUUAAAGUCCUAAUGGAAAAAAAAAGUACAUGAUGGACUUCAUGUAGAGAAGAAAGCACUGGACUGAGUUUUAAGACAGCUGCUAAGGAGCUGUGUGAGCCAAACCAGGUUACUUUACCUCUCUGGAUCUAUAUUUGCUGAUCUGUUAAGUGGAGAGGAUUGGGUCAGAUAAUCUUGGUGGUCUUUGCUUAUUCUGAGGUUCUUGGACAACUUGGCCUAAUUCACGUGGGAUGGGAUUGAAGAUCUUACUGAGUUAUUGGAUGGAAAUGUCAGUAAUGGGCACUUAGUGCCUUCAGGACUUGUUCUAUACUAUCCCAGAAAUUUCUGAUGCUAAACUUGGCAAUUUUUAAAUGUCAUAUUCCUUUUCUCCAAACUCUUUAACCACAAGAAUUCAGGGAAGGUUAAUGGGGGGUGACUCAGUUAUCUGGAUAAUACGUAUUGUGGACGAUAUAGCAUUAUCCUUGGGAAUGAUUUCAUAUUGUUGAAUAAAUAGGAUCAACUUCUUGAUAAACCUUAGUCCUAAGCAUUUCAUCUUCAUUGGAUAGUGUUACAUAGUAAUAUAUUUAUGUUUUCUUUUAAUCAUUUCAUAACUUGGAAAAUACUAACGUAGUCAAAACUCUAGGGUAGGUGAUACAUGGGUUUCUGUAGUAAUCUGGUUGGAGACAUGUUGUAAUUCUGUAUAUAUAUGUACAUUUAUCCCAUGCAUGUUAUGCCUAAACUAAGACGGAUACCCCUGAAUUAAGAGGUGCUGUUAUACAUUGACCAGGCUUAAGAAUAUCUCUUUAAAGUGUGUCGACAUUUAAUUGACCUUUGAAAGUUCAUUCUGUUAAUCAUACUCAAAGUGCUAAAGCUAUGGUUGACUGCUCUGGUGUUUUUAUAUUCAUUCGUGCUUUAGCAUAUAAAUUCUUCAGCAUAAUUGCUACUUAUUUAGCAAGAGUUUCCUUUAUUUGAAAAUGUGAGUUGUGCUUGUAUUUUUGUGUCUUUCUUUCUUUCUUUUUUUAAACUUUGCUUCAGGCUGGGUAGUGGUAGAGGUUUGAAUUAAAAUGUUUUCCUGUCAGUA